Molecule: long non-coding RNA, 453 nt
Filed under: Pan troglodytes (chimpanzee)
Lineage: Eukaryota; Metazoa; Chordata; Mammalia; Primates; Hominidae
Description: lincRNA
Source: RNAcentral
CUACUCUGCCUGUUGCAAGCCCCUCCCGGCCCAGGCUUGGGAGAGAGGUGUGCCCUACACUGCCGUGAGCCCCGAGUGGACCCAGACGGCCAGAGGGAGCAGCCCUCAGCCCAGACUCCACAGCGCAGCCCAGCCCGUCCCUGCAGCCACGAUCGGAGUGCUACUUGGCACACAGACCACAGUGAAAGUGGAGAAACUGAGGCCCCGCGGCAAAAAGUGUCUCGUCGAAGGUCACGAAGGCAGGAAAUAGCAGAUGCCAGAAGGGUCAUGGCAUUCAGAGAUGAAAGGAGUCCCUCGUGCCGGCACUCCCCCGCCCACCAGCCAUCGUGGCCAUCCUGGGCACGUGAGCACCACUGCGCCAGCCCAGCCUGGAGCCUGGUACUGCCGGCCUUGGCAGGCAGACAUUGCUGGUCAGGAAUGCAGAAUCGGCCUUUAAAUACCUCAGCAAUUUCA